GAAAAAAAGUUUAACGCCUCCUAUUCCUUUUCAAAGGUCGUCUUCUUCAAAACCCCAUACAUACAAAUUCCGAUCUCCUUUCUCUCCUACUCCACACUCCGAAACGCAAUACCUUCUUUUAUAAAGAAAACUCCUAAAGCUUCCGCAUCUUCUUAGCCAUCAUUCCGGGCUAAGGAGGGGGAAAGGUUGCUUCCGGAAAAGGCUCCUGGUAACAGAUCCAGUGA
Molecule: unclassified non-coding RNA, 224 nt
Filed under: Takakia lepidozioides
Lineage: Eukaryota; Viridiplantae; Streptophyta; Takakiopsida; Takakiales; Takakiaceae
Source: RNAcentral